This is a long non-coding RNA of Mobula hypostoma (lesser devil ray), 1874 nucleotides long. RefSeq lists it as uncharacterized. The transcript is spliced from 3 exons. The record is from RefSeq and is a predicted model, not a curated record. Lineage: Eukaryota; Metazoa; Chordata; Chondrichthyes; Myliobatiformes; Myliobatidae.
GAGAUUGCGGAUGGUCGGCAACGUGUACGGCUCUAAUAGUAGCUCCACCUUACUAGGACUUCUAUAAAAUUGAUCAGGCGAAAUGUUUGGAUGUCUGUACCACUGAGUCAUGUGUCUCAGUCUGUGACAAGCCGGAUGCGUGUUACUGAUGAAUUCCUCCACAUGGCGUCAGCUCACAUUUUCAAUGGACAAGUAAUACGAUCUCAAACCAGAAAAAACAGUUGAUGACUUAAACUAAAAUAUUUUUAACAGUGGAACAAACUUUAAAGCCAAAAAUUGAAGAGUGCUGCACCAGUGAAGAGGAAUAUACAGAGGUGGAGGAGCAAAAUGUGGACGGCUUCGAGUUGGUGGAAUGAACCUCAUUCAAGAAUUCCUAGGCAGACCUAAAUGAACCUCUCCCAAUUGUCACUGGCUUCAUAACGGCAUGCAUGGACAAGUGUGUACCGACAGAAACAUUGAGUCUUCCCCAAGUGAGAAGCUUGGAUGAAUAAGGAGAUGUGCAAUCUCUCGGCUAGGUUUGUAGUGUUUAGGGGUGGCAACCCAGAAUCAUAAGGAGUCCAGACAGUCCUUCCAGGUGAGGCAACACUUCACCUGUGAUCUGUUGGGAGUUGUUUACUAUACCUGGUGCUCCCGAUGCGGCCUUCUCUACAUUGGUAAGACCCAACAUAGAUUGGGAGACCACUUUGUUGAGCAUGUUCAUUCCAUCCACAAAAAGCAGAACUUCACAGUAACCAACCAUUUUAAUUCCAAUCCCCAUUCCCAUUCUGACAUGUCAGUCCAUGGUCUCCUCUACUGCCACUAUGAGGCCACUCUCAGGUUGGAGGAGCAACACCUCAUAAUCCAUCUGGGGUAGCCUCCAACCUGAUGGUAUGAACUUCGAUUUCUCCAACUGAUUUUUCCUCCUCCGCUUCCCGCUUCAAUUCCUCAUUCUGACCCCCUUUUCUCUUCUCCUCACCUGCCUACAACCUCCCCCUUGUACCCCUUCUCCUCACCUUUCUCCCACGGUCUACUCCACUUUCUUAACAGAUUUCUUCUUCUCCAGCCCUUUACCUUUUCCACCUCUCACCUCCUUGCUUCUUACUUCAUACCCCCUCCCCCACCCACCUGGCUUCUCCUAUCACUUUUACCUUGUACACCUUUCCGACCCCUCGCCGUCUUCUGGCUUGUUCCCCCUUUCUUUCCAGUCCUGACGAAGAGUCUUGGCCCAAAAUGUUGACUGUUUAUUCAUUUCCAUAGAUGCUGCCCAACCUGAGUUCCUCCAGCAUUUUGUGUGUGUUACUACAGUUUGUUUCUCUUUUGAAUACCACUUAUGAUGCUGUUGCAAGUAAGUUUUUCAUUGUGCCUGUUCAUACAUGUAUUGUGCAUACAGUAUGACAAAGUUGACUUUGACUGACUGUCCAUUUAUGCGUAUAUAAUCCUUCAAAGCUCUGGCUCAUUUACAUCAUGAGUGCCUUCAAUGCAAAGUCACAGGCAGGUCACCAACUGCAAAGUCUUUGGAGUGGUGAUUAAUAUGCUAGUUGCACCAGCAACUCUCACAGUCUGUGAAAAGAUUUUAACAAAAAUCCAUUUCUGAGAAUAUAAUUUUCUCCUCAUUUUACUCUGGUUAAUAAUCCCAGCACAUUAGCUAAGCAAUUACUCUAUAUUUGAUUGUAGUAAUUUUUAGCACAAUUUUUGCUGGUGCUGUAAUAUGUCAUUGAUUUACCAUGUAAAUUCCAUGUGUUAACUUUAGUGGAAAGGUCAGUGAUUUGCAAUUUGGAGUAAAAUGUUGCUCUUCCUUAAAUUAAGACUAGAGUAAUCAAAGCCCAUUGCAGCAAAUGUCUGCCCAUGUAGUAAUCACCUCGAAAACAAAGGGCUAUGUAUUUUCCUGAUGAAGU